RNAcentral lists this ribosomal RNA (467 nucleotides) under uncultured bacterium. RNAcentral describes it as "partial 16S ribosomal RNA". It matches the Rfam family "Bacterial small subunit ribosomal RNA", at positions 28 to 507 of the family's 1533-position model. The record is from RNAcentral.
GAUGAACGCUGGCGGCGUGCUUAACACAUGCAAGUCGAACGGAAAGGCCCAAGCUUGCUUGGGUACUCGAGUGGCGAACGGGUGAGUAACACGUGGGUGAUCUGCCCUGCACUUCGGGAUAAGCCUGGGAAACUGGGUCUAAUACCGGAUAGGACGAUGUUUUGGAUGCCAUUGUGGAAAGUUUUUUCGGUGUGGGAUGAGCUCGCGGCCUAUCAGCUUGUUGGUGGGGUAAUGGCCUACCAAGGCGUCGACGGGUAGCCGGCCUGAGAGGGUGUACGGCCACAUUGGGACUGAGAUACGGCCCAGACUCCUACGGGAGGAAGCAGUGGGGAAAAUUGCACAAUGGGCGAAAGCCUGAUGCAGCGACGCCGCGUGGGGGAUGACGGCCUUCGGGUUGUAAACUCCUUUCGCUAGGGACGAAGCGUUUUGUGACGGUGCCUGGAGAAGAAGCACCGGCUAACUACGUG